RNAcentral lists this ribosomal RNA (497 nucleotides) under uncultured bacterium. RNAcentral's name for it is "partial 16S ribosomal RNA". It matches the Rfam family "Bacterial small subunit ribosomal RNA", at positions 29 to 507 of the family's 1533-position model. The record is from RNAcentral.
ACGAACGCUGGCGGCGUGCCUCAUACAUGCAAGUCGCGCCAAGUUUUUCUGGUGCUUGCACCGGAAAAACUUAGCGGCCAACGGGUGAGUAACACGUAAGAGCCUGCCUCAUAGACUGGGACAACUAUUGGAAACGAUAGCUUAUACCGGAUAAUAGCAUUAACUGCAUGGUUGAUGUUUAAAAGUUGGUUUUGCUAACACUAUGAGAUGGCUUUGCGGUGCAUUAGCUAGUUGGUGGGGUAAAGGCCUACCAAGGCGACGAUGCAUAGCCGACCUGAGAGGGUGAUCGGCCACACUGGGACUGAGACACGGCCCAGACUCCUACGGGAGGCAGCAGUAGGGAAUCUUCCGCAAUGGGCGAAAGCCUGACGGAGCAACGCCGCGUGAGUGAAGAAGGAUUUCGGUUCGUAAAGCUCUGUUGUUAGGGAAGAAUGAUUUUGUAGUAACUAUACACAGUAGAGACGGUACCUAACCAGAAAGCCACGGCUAACUACGUG